UCAACUUCUCAUUCAUAAUACCGGUAAAUAUGCUGUCCACAGCCAUGUCAAGUUCAACAGAAGGAAUGUGAAAUAAAAUCUUGUGAAUUACAUCUAUAAAUGAGAAACUCUCUCUCUCUCUCUCUCUCUCUCUGUGGUGUUUGAGGGUGUGUACACAGUACAUGUCAUGUGUGUGUAAUAAAUAUUAUUGUCUAUUUAAAUUGAUAUUUGUCAUGUAAGUUUCAACUAAAGUUGAGAAUAAUUAAUUUCUCUCUCUCUCCUUCUCUCUCUCUCUCUUAGAAAAUACGUAUUUAUUGAGACCCUGAUGAGACAUAAUAUUUGUCUUGUAAAUUAUUAUAAUAAUGCACUUACAUCUGAAGUUGGGAAUGAAUAUAUUUCAUAAUUCUGGGGAAAUAUAAAUGUACUGCAAGAGAUAUAAACAGUAUGAAAUGUAAUCUCAUGAAGUCUUCGUGUGCAAAACUGUGUAAAUUUCCCUAUUGUUUACUGUGAGACAGGUGUUUGUACUAGGUGACCUUUGUGGCCAACACAUCGUAAAUAUUUCAGCUUGGGUAUUACACAAUCUCUGAAUGGUACAAUUCUACACAGGUUGUUUGAAAUCUGCAGAAAAUCAGUCGUAAUAUGGGUGGCUAAAAAGAUAAACAGCAGCAUAGAGUAUGUGCAUGUUCAUGUUGAACAGAUAUUACGAUGUUGUGAAUAAAGACUGCCACUUAUAUUAAGAUUUAAGCAGAUGACUAGUACAUGUAGAUUUUAUUGUUUGCAUAAAUAAAUAACCCAGUUAUAAUAGUUAUUUUCACGAAUAAACAAAUAUUAAAUUCAAAAUGGCGGCAAAUAUGGCGGCCGCCGGCCUCCGAUGUCCGUUUUGUUGAUACUAAGAUAAAUUCAAAAUUUUAACACCAACUGGUAUUUAUAUUUUUAAUUUAAGGUUGAAAUUACACAAUUAGGUUUAUUUGCAUUUAAAAUAAAUUAAUAAUGAAUUAUUUAUUUAUUUUUUUUCGAUCACGUGACGUUUUUGAGUUCUAUGAUUGGUCAAUAACAGAGCGCGGAUUUUUCCAUGGACGAUUUGAAUGUUUGGAUGUUGAAAGUGUUGAUAGAAAAAAAGGAGAUAAAACCAGUUGCAGAAUAUUGGUACAUGAUGUUUCCAUGAGCUGAAUCUGUCCUGCCCUGGAGUACAUGAAAUUCUUCACAAUAUUACUUGUUUAAGAAUUGAAGAAAAGGUUAAAAUUGCAAGCAUAUUUCAACGAAAACUUAGCCGACUACCAGUCACACUGCCCACCAGCCAAGACGUCUGACCAGCUAAAAUGAGGGACGCAGUCCACCAGCCAAGUCCCUCGGCCAGCUCGGCUGACCCAGUGCGGCCUGUCAAGGGAUGACCAAGUCCAUCAACUAGCUCGGCUGACUACCAGUGCAGCCUGUCAAGUCCUUCAACUAACUUGGCCUAUUACCAGUGUGGCCUGUCAUUGAACAACCAAGUCCAUCAACUAGAUUGGCUUACUACCAGAGCGGCUUUUCAAGGGAUGGUCAAGUCCGUCAACUAACUUAACCUACUACCAGUGCCGCAUGUCAAGAGAUGGCCAAGUUCGUCAACUAGCUCGGCUUACUACCAGUACGGCCUGUCAAUAUAGGGAUGGUUAAGACCAUUGACUAACUUGGCCUUCUACCAGUGCGGCUUGUCAAGGGACGUUUAAGUCCGUCAACUAACUUGACCAACUACAGAUGCGACCUGUCAAGGGAUGGCCAAGUCUGUCAACUAUCUUGACCAACUACCAGUGCGGCCUGUCAAACGAUGGCCAAGUCCUUCAACUAACUUGGCCUACUACCAGUGUGGCCUGUCAAACGAUGGCCAAGUCCUUCAACUAACUUGGCCUACUACCAGUGUGGCCUGUCAAACGAUGGCUAAGUCUGUCAGCUAACUUGGUCUACUACCAGUGCGGCCUGUCAAACGAUGGCCAAGUCCUUCAACUAACUUGGUCUACUACCAGUGCAGCCUGUCAAAUGAUGGCUAAGUCUGUCAGCUAACUCAGCCAACUUUCAGUGCAGCCUAUCUUCAAAUAAUAAAGAUAAACAACUGUACACCUGCAAGGAUACCUGUGCAAGGAGGGUGGUAUGCAGCUAGAAACUGUGACUGAAAUCGCUGUUUAUAGAAACUUUCUUUUUUUUUUUUGAAAUACAGCUAGAUCAAAAAUAAAUAGGGUGUUAAUAUUUAAAAAUUAGUGAUGUCUGUUUAUACAAUUAGCAAGAGUAGAAUGCAGUUUGCUAGGUAAUUUUACAAAGACCCUAAUUGCUAUAUGUUAAAAAUGUAUUCUUUAAAACAACCAGAGAAAUUUCAAUCUGUUGUAGAUGACAUGAUGUAAAAUAAGGUACACUUGAAUUUUUAAAACAAUUGCAUGUGCAUUCAUUUAGUUGUAUUUGACAAUAAACCAAGCUAUCUUUAUCGUGUUUGUUAGGUAAAAUUGUUAUUGCCUUUAAUAUGUUUUAAAUAAUCUUUUUUGUAUAAAUUUCAAAAAUCUUUUUUUUUUUUUUUUUUAAAUUUUAAUGAGUAGCUUUUUAAAAGCUUAUAACUGAGUAAAUCCACAACAGGUUAACAGUGUAUAAUUUCACUGGAACUUUUACGAAAGUUUUUAUUAAUAGGUAUAAUUUUUUAUAGUUAUAACUUUUUGCAGUUAUAACUUUUUUUAGGUAUAACUUUUCUAUAACUUUUUCAUAACUUUCUUGGGGUAUAACUUUUUUGUAACUUUUUCAUAACUUUAUAAUAGGUAUAACUUUUUUUAGUUAUAACUUUUCCUGGGUAUAACUUUUUCCGGGUAUAACUUUUUUGUAACUUUUUCAUAACUUUUUUGUGGUAUAACUUUUUUGUAACUUUUCCACUGUUUAUUUGGGUAUAACUAAAGUAUAACUUUGUAACUAUUUUAUAACUUUUUGUGUAACUUUUAAUAAGUAUAACUUUUUGUAGUUAUAACUUUUUUAUAACUUUUAUGUACUUGCUGUAUUUAUGUUCAAUAAAAGGUGAAAAGUUAUGAAAAAGUUAUAACUUUUUUGUAACUAAGUUAUAACUAAAUUAUACCUCACUUAAAACAUGCCAUUCCAAACUCCGAUAACUUAGUUAUAACUUUUUUGUAACUUUUUUUAGUUACAAAAGUUAUAACUAAGUUAUAACUUUUUUCGGUAUGGGUUGGUACAUCUUG
This is a long non-coding RNA of Saccostrea cuccullata (small rock oyster), 3182 nucleotides long. RefSeq lists it as uncharacterized. NCBI's taxonomy places the organism in Eukaryota, Metazoa, Mollusca, Bivalvia, Ostreida, Ostreidae. The transcript has 3 exons. The record is from RefSeq and is a predicted model, not a curated record.